CCAGUGAUCAUAUGCUUGUUUCAAAGAUUAAGCCAUGCAUGUCUAAGUACUAACUCUCUAAUGAAAAGUGAAACCGCAGAUGGCUCAUUAAAUCAGUCGUAAUUGACGGGACCGUGGCUUACGGUGGAUAUCUCUGGCAAUUCUAGAGCUAAUACAUGCUGAAAAGUCUCGGACCCCUGGGGACGAGCGCACUUAUUAGGCCAAAAACCUUUGUCCGUUUAUGGCGAGUCUAGAUAAUAUGCAGAUUCGUGUGGGUCAUAGCAUCAACGACGAGUCUCCUAAGCGUCUGCCUCAUCAACUAGAUGGUAGGGUAACGGCCUACCAUGGUUGUGACGGGUGACGGGGAAUCAGGGUUCGAUUCCGGAGAGGCAGCCUGAGAGACGGCUACCACAUCCAAGGAAGGCAGCAGGCACGAAAAUUACCCAAUCCCGGAACGGGGAGGUAGUGACGAUAAAUAACGAUGCGGGACUCUAUCGAGGCCCCGUGAUUGGAAUGAGAGGAGUGUACAAGUCUCCCUCGAGAAACUAUUGGAGGGCAAGUCUGGUGCCAGCAGCCGCGGUAAUUCCAGCUCCGAUAGCGUAUACUAAAGUUGCUGCGGUUGAAAAGCUCGUAGUUGGACGUCGGGCCUGGGCGAGUGGUCCACCUUCCGGGGUGGCGACUGUUCGCAACGGGACCAGUGUGGCCGGCCUACCCUCGGUGCUCUUGACCGGGUGCCGCUGGGUGGCCGGAGGCCGUACUUCGAAAAAAUCAGAGUGCUCAGAGCAGGCAUGUGGCAAAUGAAUAUCCAAGCAUGGAAUACGAGAACACGACUUCGGGUCUAUUUUGUUGGUUUCUUGAACCGAGGCAAUGAUUAAUUGGGACGGCCGGGGGCAUACGUAUUGCGAGGCGAGAGGUGAAAUUCUUGGACCCUUGCAAGACGACCUAGAGCGAAAGCAUUUGCCAAGAAUGUUUUCAUUAAUCAAGAACGAAAGUUAGAGGUUCGAAGGCGAUCAGAUACCGCCCUAGUUCUAACUAUAAACGAUGCCAACCGGCGAUCGGGGUGCGUUCCUCCAAUGACGCCCCCGGCAGCUUCCCGGGAAACCAGAGUGUGUGGGUUCCUGGGGAAGUAUGGUUGCAAGGCUGAAACUUAAAGGAAUUGACGGAAGGGCACCACCAGGAGUGGAGCCUGCGGCUUAAUUUGACUCAACACGGGGCAGCUCACUCGGCCCGGACACUCGAAGGAUUGACAGAUUGAGAGCUCUUUCUCGAUUGAGUGGUGAGUGGUGCAUGGCCGUUCUUAGUUGGUGGAGUGAUUUGUCUGGUUAAUUCCGAUAACGAACGAGACUCCGGCCUGCCAAAUAGAAAGUCGAUAGGUCUGGUCGACUGUGACAGUAGUCUUCUUAGAGGGACGGGCGGCUCUCAGCCGCAAGAAGUGGAGCGAUAACAGGUCUGUGAUGCCCUUAGAUGUCCGAGGCUGCACGCGGGCUACACUGAAGGGGUCAGCGUGUCGAUGGGCCCGGGGCCGCGAGGUCCGGGUAAUCCGCUGAACUCCCUUCGUGAAAGGGACUGGGGCUUGAAACUAUAGCCCACGAACGAGGAAUUCCUGGUACGGGCGAGUCACCAACUCGCCCUGACUACGUCCCUGCCCUUUGUACACACCGCCCGUCGCUACUACCGAUUGAAUGGUUCAGUGAGGCCUCUAGACAGGAGCCUGGCGAGACGGCCGGUGCCUCGUGUGCCGGUCGGCCGAGCCUGCUGCACCUGGAAGCUGACCGAACUCGACCACUUAGAGGAAGUAAAAGUCGUAACA
RNAcentral lists this ribosomal RNA (1789 nucleotides) under Pachybolus ligulatus. Its description in RNAcentral is "SSU rRNA". It matches the Rfam family "Eukaryotic small subunit ribosomal RNA". The record is from RNAcentral. Lineage: Eukaryota; Metazoa; Arthropoda; Diplopoda; Spirobolida; Pachybolidae.